RNAcentral lists this transfer RNA (69 nucleotides) under Sphaerodactylus townsendi. RNAcentral describes it as "tRNA-Ala". It matches the Rfam family "tRNA". From Rfam's summary of the family: Transfer RNA (tRNA) molecules are approximately 80 nucleotides in length. Lineage: Eukaryota; Metazoa; Chordata; Lepidosauria; Squamata; Sphaerodactylidae. The record is from RNAcentral.
GCUGUGGCUCAGUGGUGGAGUAUCUGUUUGGCACGCAGAAGAUUCUGGGUUCAGUUCCUGACAUCUCCA